AGUGAACGCUGGCGGUAGGCCUAACACAUGCAAGUCGAACGGCAGCACAGUAAGAGCUUGCUCUUACGGGUGGCGAGUGGCGGACGGGUGAGGAAUACAUCGGAAUCUACUUUUUCGUGGGGGAUAACGUAGGGAAACUUACGCUAAUACCGCAUACGACCUACGGGUGAAAGCAGGGGAUCUUCGGACCUUGCGCGAUUGAAUGAGCCGAUGUCGGAUUAGCUAGUUGGCGGGGUAAAGGCCCACCAAGGCGACGAUCCGUAGCUGGUCUGAGAGGAUGAUCAGCCACAAUGGAAAUAAGACACGGUCCAGACUCCUACGGGAGGCAGCAGUGGGGCAUAUUGGACAAUGGGCGCAAGCCUGAUCCAGCCAUACCGCGUGGGUGAAGAAGGCCUUCGGGUUGUAAAGCCCUUUUGUUGGGAAAGAAAAGCAGCAGGUUAAUACCCCGCUGUUCUGACGGUACCCAAAGAAUAAGCACCGGCUAACUUCGUG
This 492-nucleotide ribosomal RNA is filed under the name uncultured bacterium. RNAcentral describes it as "partial 16S ribosomal RNA". It matches the Rfam family "Bacterial small subunit ribosomal RNA", at positions 29 to 507 of the family's 1533-position model. The record is from RNAcentral.